UACGAAGGGGGCUAGCGUUGCUCGGAAUCACUGGGCGGAAAGCGCACGUAGGCGGAUCUUUAAGUCGGGGGGGAAAUCCCGGGGCUCAACCCCGGAACUGCCUUCGAUACUGAGGAUCUUGAGUCCGGGAGAGGUGAGUGGAACUGCGAGUGUAGAGGUGAAAUUCGUAGAUAUUCGCAAGAACACCAGUGGCGAAGGCGGCGCACUGGCCCGGUACUGACGCUGAGGUGCGAAAGCGUGGGGAGCAAACAGG
RNAcentral lists this ribosomal RNA (253 nucleotides) under uncultured bacterium. Its description in RNAcentral is "partial 16S ribosomal RNA". It matches the Rfam family "Bacterial small subunit ribosomal RNA", at positions 524 to 776 of the family's 1533-position model. The record is from RNAcentral.